UGAAGUAUAGCCAAGUGGUAAGGCCCCCGUUUUUGGUACG
RNAcentral lists this transfer RNA (40 nucleotides) under Phytophthora quercina. RNAcentral describes it as "partial tRNA-Gln". Lineage: Eukaryota; Oomycota; Peronosporomycetes; Peronosporales; Peronosporaceae. The record is from RNAcentral.